This is an RNA transcript of Cyprinodon tularosa, 2039 nucleotides long. RefSeq lists it as uncharacterized. The transcript is spliced from 6 exons. Lineage: Eukaryota; Metazoa; Chordata; Actinopteri; Cyprinodontiformes; Cyprinodontidae. The record is from RefSeq and is a predicted model, not a curated record.
GUUUAGCAGAAAUAGAACAGAACCAAAAGAAGGAGGCAGAAAGUACUGAUUUAAGGGAAGCAACAUUAGAAGAAAAAUAUGGUGAAACUUUAAGUGAGGAGAGAUCAAAGGCACUGUUGGUUGAAGAGGGUGACAAUACCGGAGAAGCAGAUAUGGAGGACAACACAAAGGAUCAAGAGAAAAGACCUGAAAACCUGCUUCCUACCAUAAAUCCAUCAUUGGGAGGUGCAACUCAAGACAGUACAAUUGUCGGUGCAAACUCUAACCAUUGCAGUAAGACAGCUAUAACAAAUUCUGGAAUUUUACCAGAAAACCAUGGGGAGAUCCAACCCACGGUAGAUCAUUUCGUUAAUACUGCUUUUGCUGAAUACCAUCAAACAAAAGGAGGGAAUGCAACAGGAACCAUAAACGUAAUGGAAGAUAUUUCUAGAACAAAAGUGAACAAUGAGCACAGCAUUCAGGCAUGGAAGAUCGGGGCUAUUUUUACUGCUGUCGUCUUGGUUUUGGAGACUGUUUUCUUCAUUAUCUAUGUCGUCAAAUGUCGAAAUAAGGAAAGCCCUCUAGCCAUGCAGCAGGCAGGUGUCAAAGGGUGUGUUGAUCCUGAGGCAGGAAUGGGAGGUAACUGCAGUGAGGACACUCCAUCAGCAGACAACGGAAAGUGUCUAGAAUAAAAAAAAAAAAUGGUGAGAUUACUGUCCCCUGUUCCGCUACAAGACUGGAGGAUGGCCCGACUGGACCCGUGUGGUGUGGCUACAACCUUGGCCAGGAAAAGGGAAAAGCAAGAAGAUGAACAUGAAGUAACCGUAUCAAACCAAUUACCAAGCUCUGAAGAGAUGCUGCCCAGUCCAGAAUCAGGACAAGACUUUCCAACUCCGAUAUAAUAUUCUUUUUUUUCUUUUGCUAAAUAAAACUCAAAAUGUAACAUCUUUGUUAUUAUCCAAGCGAUUGGAUUUCAAGAUGCAAUUCUCCACCUCUUACAAAAACUACACUGAUUGCAUUUGACUGUGUUUAAAAAUAAACUUAGGCUAUUUUGAUUAGUUCUGUGUCAGAUAUAAAACAAUUCAGGUUUUGAAAGAUUUAACAAAACAGAGAGCUGCCUUUCACUCAAUCCAGAAUGCUGGGUUUGGUUUUAAAGCCAAAAAAUAUUGAUUAAUGCAGCUCAGCAAUUUUUAUGAUUGCAACGUUUCACAGGGAUAAGUGUAAGAAAUGUAUUUUCUGUAAUAAUACUUUUAAAUGAUAAAACAAUUGAAUUUAGACAACAAAACAUAUGCAUGGAAUAUUAAAGCUGAAGUAACCCAUUUAAAUGUAUGAAAAUAUGUUUUCAUUAAAACAAUCAAAUUAAAUUGAAAUAACCAUUAAAUUGACCAUCUUCCUUUCUCAUCAUGUGGGAGAUUUUCCAUUAAGUCUUAACAUUUCUAGGUGUACAGUAUUUCAGAUCUUCUGCCUUUCAAGAGUGUUGAUGUCUCUUAUUUUCUCCUCUCUAACCCAACUAUGUCACUGUUUGCCAGCAAACAACUAAUCAAAACUAACAAAAAUCUUUUCUAACAACUUAAAUCAUGGCUUAAAAAAUAAUCCAGUAUUAUAUUUAUGCUUGCUGUUGAUAAAUAUGUCUGUGUGUGCAAACUUGAAAGUCGAGAUACUGUAACAAUUUUGGGUGAAGAUGGAAACAAAUAUGUUUUGUAGGUGCUACAACCUGUAAUCAAUCUCACUUGGACAUUUGAACAUGGAAUAGAAUUGUAACUUAAGUUUACAGUAAGUAGAUUUUCUCUAAAUUAAAAAAAAAGUAAUUUAAAUUUUUCUCAUACUGAAAUGGUAAAUGCUGUUGCAACAACAUAAAAAGGUUAACCAAAUUAACCAUCCAUCCGUCCUAGACAGGUUGCUACUCUGUUACAGUAUAUUCUGUUCUGUAUUAUCAAAACAACCCCUUUUUAUGUUUGUUCGCCUCCUGGCCUCCCUUUUUGGAUCAGGCUGGAUUUUGUACUCUUACACCACCAAGAAUACCUUCCAGUCAUCUGUCUAUCUCAACUCAUACAAAGUAA